AAAUUGAAGAGUUUGAUCAUGGCUCAGAUUGAACGCUGGCGGCAGGCCUAACACAUGCAAGUCGAGCGGUAGCACAGAGAGCUUGCUCUCGGGUGACGAGCGGCGGACGGGUGAGUAAUGUCUGGGAAACUGCCUGAUGGAGGGGGAUAACUACUGGAAACGGUAGCUAAUACCGCAUAAUGUCGCAAGACCAAAGUGGGGGACCUUCGGGCCUCAUGCCAUCAGAUGUGCCCAGAUGGGAUUAGCUAGUAGGUGGGGUAAUGGCUCACCUAGGCGACGAUCCCUAGCUGGUCUGAGAGGAUGACCAGCCACACUGGAACUGAGACACGGUCCAGACUCCUACGGGAGGCAGCAGUGGGGAAUAUUGCACAAUGGGCGCAAGCCUGAUGCAGCCAUGCCGCGUGUGUGAAGAAGGCCUUCGGGUUGUAAAGCACUUUCAGCGGGGAGGAAGGCGGUGAGGUUAAUAACCUCAUCGAUUGACGUUACCCGCAGAAGAAGCACCGGCUAACUCCGUGCCAGCAGCCGCGGUAAUACGGAGGGUGCAAGCGUUAAUCGGAAUUACUGGGCGUAAAGCGCACGCAGGCGGUCUGUCAAGUCGGAUGUGAAAUCCCCGGGCUCAACCUGGGAACUGCAUUCGAAACUGGCAGGCUAGAGUCUUGUAGAGGGGGGUAGAAUUCCAGGUGUAGCGGUGAAAUGCGUAGAGAUCUGGAGGAAUACCGGUGGCGAAGGCGGCCCCCUGGACAAAGACUGACGCUCAGGUGCGAAAGCGUGGGGAGCAAACAGGAUUAGAUACCCUGGUAGUCCACGCCGUAAACGAUGUCGAUUUGGAGGUUGUGCCCUUGAGGCGUGGCUUCCGGAGCUAACGCGUUAAAUCGACCGCCUGGGGAGUACGGCCGCAAGGUUAAAACUCAAAUGAAUUGACGGGGGCCCGCACAAGCGGUGGAGCAUGUGGUUUAAUUCGAUGCAACGCGAAGAACCUUACCUGGUCUUGACAUCCACAGAACUUUCCAGAGAUGGAUUGGUGCCUUCGGGAACUGUGAGACAGGUGCUGCAUGGCUGUCGUCAGCUCGUGUUGUGAAAUGUUGGGUUAAGUCCCGCAACGAGCGCAACCCUUAUCCUUUGUUGCCAGCGGUUAGGCCGGGAACUCAAAGGAGACUGCCAGUGAUAAACUGGAGGAAGGUGGGGAUGACGUCAAGUCAUCAUGGCCCUUACGACCAGGGCUACACACGUGCUACAAUGGCAUAUACAAAGAGAAGCGACCUCGCGAGAGCAAGCGGACCUCAUAAAGUAUGUCGUAGUCCGGAUUGGAGUCUGCAACUCGACUCCAUGAAGUCGGAAUCGCUAGUAAUCGUAGAUCAGAAUGCUACGGUGAAUACGUUCCCGGGCCUUGUACACACCGCCCGUCACACCAUGGGAGUGGGUUGCAAAAGAAGUAGGUAGCUUAACCUUCGGGAGGGCGCUUACCACUUUGUGAUUCAUGACUGGGGUGAAGUCGUAACAAGGUAACCGUAGGGGAACCUGCGGUUGGAUCACCUCCUUA
RNAcentral lists this ribosomal RNA (1540 nucleotides) under Escherichia coli. Its description in RNAcentral is "bacterial SSU rRNA". It matches the Rfam family "Bacterial small subunit ribosomal RNA". Lineage: Bacteria; Pseudomonadati; Pseudomonadota; Gammaproteobacteria; Enterobacterales; Enterobacteriaceae. The record is from RNAcentral. RNAcentral also lists the same sequence under 6 other names.